AGGGCCGCGCGCGCGCGCCGGGUGGGGAGCCGGUUCGCCACUGUCUCCGCUCCCUCCCUCCGCAGCUUGACCCGGUAGUGAAGGCAGAGAGAGAGGCAGGCUGGGUCCGCCUGGCAGCCUACGAGAAGAGGCGGGAGCGGGAAAGGAAGGGAGCCGAGGCCCGGCGUGGGGAGGCCGGCAGGAAGGGCUUCGAGCCCUGUGCGGACCUUUUUUCAGCCUCUGAGCGGCCGCGCGGCGCGCUAGCCUCCUGCGCUGUGAGGACGCCCGGACUUCCUCAGGACUAGGGCUCGGCGGGAGCAGAAAGAGCGAGACCUGGACUUGGCGGCGCGCCCCCGGCGGGAGCGCUGCGAGUGCCCAGGCGCGGGACCCUGCAGCGGGAAAGCCGAGCUGGUGGGACCCCGUGGACCUGCGGGGGAGGCCUGGGCGCGAGGCGCCGGGUGGAGGCGGAGGAGUUCUCUGUUGAGGGAGGCUUUGUCUCCUCACGUUUUCAGUCAAACUCGUCGCAGAGUUCUUAGAAUUCCCCCCCUCGGAGGAGCGGAAAGUUAGGGAAGUGCAGGCUGGUUACCCAGACAGCGAGGAGGCAGAGCAUCACUUUGCGGGGUGCGGGCCCAGCCCGCGCGUCGGGCGGGGAUGGGAACUUGGCGGCGGGCCGGAGUAGUCUGGUGAAAGGGGAUUCCAGGGACGCAGGGGAAGGGGCUUCACUUUUCCAGGUUAAGAGACGCGGAGCGGAAGGGGCCGUAGCGUGGGGCCUCCUGUGGGAAAUGGGCUCUUUUCCCCGGGAACUGCGGCGGAGACGGCUGGGGCACGUCCUCGCCCGGGAAAGCGUCAGACUCGGGCUUGUACCUUAGGAAGAAACCUUGACAUGUCCUGGCGUGACCACUUCGUGCUCCAGAGAAAGAAAAGGCGGCUCUCGGAGCGAGCUUGAACACCGCGGCAGAACCCGGGGUGGAACUCAGCUCGCAGGCCCAGCACCACCAGGCUCCUUUCCCUUCACGAAGUUUGCAGCCAGGAGUAGAGGGUUAAAAGUCCUAAUUUGAUGGGACUGUGAUGAGGAUGAAUCAGAUGUUCCAGGAGGAUUUUCUAUGUUUAUCUGCUGGUUUCUGCUGACUCCAUGGGUAUCUAAGCUUAAGUACAGUGAUUGGAUAUACAAGCGCCAAGUCCUGGGGAGAGAAUUUGGGCCUCAAAGUUGGAUGUGGGGACACUGAAACCUUGCCUCUUCACUCUUCAGCCUUACCCCUGCACUGUGCUAAAGGCUUAUUUAAUUAAUUUGAGAGAAAGAGAGAAGUAUAAGAAGGGGCAGAAGGAAAGAAUCUCAAGCAGACUUCUCUUUGAGUGCAGAGCAAUCCCAUGACCUGGAAAUCUUGACCAGAGCUAAAAUCAAGGAUCAGACGCUUAACCAACUUAACCUACUGAGCCAUGGAGGUAGCCCUCCUAGAAGAUACUUUUAGGCCAGGACUUGGAUGAGGUAAAGCAUCCAGUUGUGAUAAAAUCUGUGGGAAGGAAUUUUCAGACAGAAAAAAAGAAGUAUCUAGGACCUAAAGUAGUAAGGAACAUGACAUUUCAGAGACUGGGUAAUUUUCAUUUAUAUUAUUUUAUGCAUUUGAUUUUACUAUCCCUUAGGUUAGUCUUUGUAAAGUCUUCCACAAAUUGGAUCUUGCUUGAAGUUUAAUUCUCCCCUGAUCCUUUCUCAACCAUGCUCCAUGCUAGUCGGUGCCUCUGUGACUUCGUAUAAGCUGUUUCUUCUGUUUAAUAGCCUCUCAUUCAUUUGUUCUUAUAUCUUAAAUUGUGACUCAAGCAUUCCCUCUUUUAGGAAGCUUUCUCAUUCUGAUGAAGUCUUGGGUUUGGUGGGUGAGGUCCGGAGCCCACAACCAAGAAAGAAUUCUUGGGCCAUCUUUGGUACAAAAUGGUGGUUUAUUAAAGCACAGGGACAGGAAAGAGCUGCUGCCCUGGGGGUUUUAAAGAGUGGUCCAUUAUAUGCUUGCAAGUGGGUAGGGGGUCAGGGAUGGCAUAAGUGUCUAAGGAAUUUUGGAAGCAAGGUUUCCAGGACCUUGAGGGGCUAGCUAUUGUUGGGCAAAAGGUUAUUCAUUACUGGGAAUAAAACCUUUGUUGUGAGACCAUUUAGGGUGGGCCAUAUGCUUGAGAAUGAUUGUUAACACUAUCUUGGAGGGUUUAGAGAUAAAGGAAGUUUCUGAAGAAUUGUUAAAGUAGACUUACAGGAUCCUGGUUGGAGGUAGGGGUGAGUCCGCUAUGAUUGCCCUUUGCCCUAAGCAAAGUGCUAGGGUGAAGGCAGUUGAGUCCCUAGAGGAAUGUCACUCUGCCUGUUUUAAGGGCUUGUCAGUGGGUAAAGAAAUUUAAUAAUUUUUCUUCUGCCUCUGUUUCCCACACCAGUUCUCUCCUGCCCACCAUCCAUACAGUUACUCAGGUAACUUGAUUAUACAAUUGAGACCUGGCUUUGCAUUUAUUGAUUUACAGGUCUGCUUUUAUCACUAGUGAGUUUCUUUAAGACCGAGAAAUUUUUAUAAUUCAUUGCCUGAUAUGAUGGUCCACCAUAGUAAUACUGUUAUAUAGUACAUAAUCCUGGUAGUAUUUAGUAAACACUUAGUAAAUAAGUCAAUGGGGUAUUGUCUUCUUGAUAUAACUUAACUAACGUGACAUUUGUCUCCCAAACAGUUUCCAUACAUAAUUAUUCUAGCUAACAGCCAUAAACUAACUCUUCAUUGUAGCUAUUUUUCUAUAGCCACUAGGAUGUUUAUCAUUAUUUUAUUUCAAAACAACAAAAAAUUUAAAUUAAGUAUAAUCAUUUAUGUUUAAUAUAAACUGCACUUAUAGAAAUAUUCUGAAAAGAUUAAUUUCUGAUAUGUAGUUUUCAAUUCAGUUUUUUUGUUUAGCAUAUUUAUAAUAGAUUUUCAGCCUUUUAAAUAUGUUGGCAUUGAGAACUGAGUAAUAUUUAAUGAAAAUCAUGAUUUAAUAGCAUGUUUUAUGUGGCUUGUUUGUUUCUUUUUAAUUUAGAAUGGUAGAGUUAUAUUUGAGAUCUUCAUUACAUUUUAUUCACCAGAACUCAAUGUUCUUUCUUAACUUGGAACCUAAGGGCUUUUCCAGUUCCUAAGUGCCUGGCAGAAAUAGAAUAGCUGAGAACCUGGGAGGAGAAAUUAUGGGAGAUACGGCAAGAGAGAUAGAAAGAGGAUAUGGACAUUUUGGCAGCGCCAAACUUUAAGAGAUGGCAGAGAUACAGCAUUAAAGUAACCACGCAGAACUGGAGAUAACGUACUUGGAGCUUUCCCCACCCCAGGAGGCUUCCAGUAUACUAACACUUGCUAAGUGUCUUAAACAGGUGUCUAAGUGAUUGGCUUAUGUGGUAGGCUUUAUCCUAUUCAGGAGGAGGAUUCCACCCUGUAAGUUCUCCUUUAAGUCCUUGAGGGUACAAGGGAAGGAUACAAAUUUACUGAAUGAACUAAGCUAAUGAAUAAAUGCAUAAGCCUUUAAUAUCAGUCCCCUUAUUUAUUCGUCUUGAAAGUUUAUAUCAAUAUGUACUUCUAAAUUCUUAUUGCAUCUAAUAGGGUAGAAUCUACUACUAAUACUCUUGAUUUUGAUACUCAAAUUAUUUGCUUUGCCCUGUAGGAAAUCCUUCAAGAUGGUUUGCUUAUCCUUUUGGCAUGUGCUUUUGAUUAUUUGAACACUUUUUUGCUUCUUUAUAUAACAAAAUAUUCCAAUUUCAUCUUGCUCUCUCUCUUCCUGAGCUCUGGAAUUUGCCUCCCCCACCCCCAAAAGGAACCAUGUUCCUUUUAGUGGAAGAUCGUAUUUAGAAACCAAGAUACAUAUUGGCUUAUUUAUUGUUACUGCUGGGCCAUUAUUUCUAAGCCCUUUCAGUGGACAGAGUUAGGAAAUGUAUAUAGAGAUAUUUCAAGUGUGUUUAUGUGUAAUAUAUUAACUACACUUAUAUAUAUGAAAAAUAAUGUCAUACUUAUAUUUCCAGUUAACAUCACAAAUCCCUUUAUGUUCCAUAAGAAGAGAUAACUCAAAUCACUGACUUACUAUGAACAAAACACUAGCAUUUUGGGGUUUUGUUUUUGGUUUGGUUUUUAAGAUUUUACUUAUUUGAAAGUGAGAGAGCACAAGUCAGGGGUAGGAAGGGCAGAGGGAGAGGGAGUAACAAACUCCCUACUGAGCCGGGAGCCUGAUGUGGCUCUCAGUCCCAGGACCCCAGGAUCAUGACC
Molecule: long non-coding RNA, 4214 nt
Organism: Mustela lutreola (European mink)
Lineage: Eukaryota; Metazoa; Chordata; Mammalia; Carnivora; Mustelidae
Exons: 4
Source: RefSeq, a predicted model, not a curated record